UACGGAGGAUGCGAGCGUUAUCCGGAUUUAUUGGGUUUAAAGGGUGCGUAGGCGGACGCUUAAGUCAGCGGUAAAAUUGCGGGGCUCAACCUCGUCGAGCCGUUGAAACUGGGUGCCUUGAGUGGGCGAGAAGUACGCGGAAUGCGUGGUGUAGCGGUGAAAUGCAUAGAUAUCACGCAGAACUCCGAUUGCGAAGGCAGCGUACCGGCGCCCUACUGACGCUGAAGCACGAAGGCGUGG
This 240-nucleotide ribosomal RNA is filed under the name uncultured bacterium. RNAcentral's name for it is "partial 16S ribosomal RNA". It matches the Rfam family "Bacterial small subunit ribosomal RNA", at positions 524 to 764 of the family's 1533-position model. The record is from RNAcentral.